Molecule: long non-coding RNA, 179 nt
Organism: Prionailurus viverrinus (fishing cat)
Lineage: Eukaryota; Metazoa; Chordata; Mammalia; Carnivora; Felidae
Exons: 3
Source: RefSeq, a predicted model, not a curated record
GGGUGAAGAUGUGAUCAUAUAUUUUUUUUCCUCCAGUCCAAAGAGAACCAGAUUUCUCAGAUUGGUUGCAAGAAUGACUUAUUAAAACCUGCACAUAGAGAAGAAGAGCUUUGUCACAGUGGAGGAACUGAGCCAAUAGUUGUUUGUCAAACAAUCCAGACCAUACAUUUAGACUCCUC